This 440-nucleotide ribosomal RNA is filed under the name uncultured bacterium. Its description in RNAcentral is "partial 16S ribosomal RNA". It matches the Rfam family "Bacterial small subunit ribosomal RNA", at positions 338 to 795 of the family's 1533-position model. The record is from RNAcentral.
CCUACGGGAGGCAGCAGUGGGGAAUAUUGCACAAUGGGGGAAACCCUGAUGCAGCGACGCCGCGUGAGUGAAGAAGUAUUUCGGUAUGUAAAGCUCUAUCAGCAGGGAAGAAAAUGACGGUACCUGACUAAGAAGCCCCGGCUAACUACGUGCCAGCAGCCGCGGCAAUAUGUCGGGGGCAAGCGUUAUCCGGAUUUACUGGGUGUAAAGGGAGCGUAGAAGGCAGCGCAAGUCUGAAGGGAAAUCCCAUGGCUUAACCAUGGAACUGCUUUGGAAACUGGGCAGCUGGAGUGCAGGAGAGGUAGGCGGAAUUCCUAGUGUAGAGGUGAAAUGCGUAGAUAUUAGGAGGAACACCAAUGGCGAAGGCAGCUUACUGGACUGUAACUGACGUUGAGGCUCGAAAGCGUGGGGAGCAAACAGGAUUAGAUACCCCGGUAGUC